This 150-nucleotide ribosomal RNA is filed under the name uncultured Bacteroidota bacterium. RNAcentral describes it as "uncultured Bacteroidetes bacterium partial 16S ribosomal RNA". The record is from RNAcentral. Lineage: Bacteria; Pseudomonadati; Bacteroidota.
UAAGUACCGUCAAGUCCCUACACGUAGGGAGGUUUCUUCCUGUAUAAAAGCAGUUUACAAUCCAUAGGACCGUCUUCCUGCACGCGGCAUGGCUGGUUCAGGCUUGCGCCCAUUGACCAAUAUUCCUCACUGCUGCCUCCCGUAGGAGUA